AUUGAACGCUGGCGGCAGGCCUAACACAUGCAAGUCGAGCGGAUGAAGGGAGCUUGCUCCUGGAUUCAGCGGCGGACGGGUGAGUAAUGCCUAGGAAUCUGCCUGGUAGUGGGGGAUAACGUCCCGAAACGGGCGCUAAUACCGCAUCCGUCCUGAGGGAGAAAGUGGGGGAUCUUCGGACCUCACGCUAUCAGAUGAGCCUAGGUCGUAUUAGCUAGCUGGUGGGGUAAAGGCCUACCAAGGCGACGAUCCGUAACUGGUCUGAGAGGAUGAUCAGUCACACUGGAACUGAGACACGGUCCAGACUCCUAAGGGAGGCAGCAGUGGGGAAUAUUGGACAAUGGGCGAAAGCCUGAUCCAGCCAUGCCGCGUGUGUGAAGAAGGUCUUCGGAUUGUAAAGCACUUUAAGUUGGGAGGAAGGGCAGUAAGUUAAUACCUUGCUGUUUUGACGUUACCAACAGAAUAAGCACCGGCUAACUUCGUG
This 484-nucleotide ribosomal RNA is filed under the name uncultured bacterium. RNAcentral describes it as "partial 16S ribosomal RNA". It matches the Rfam family "Bacterial small subunit ribosomal RNA", at positions 30 to 507 of the family's 1533-position model. The record is from RNAcentral.